Molecule: ribosomal RNA, 520 nt
Filed under: uncultured Scutellospora
Lineage: Eukaryota; Fungi; Glomeromycota; Glomeromycetes; Diversisporales; Gigasporaceae
Description: SSU rRNA
Rfam family: Eukaryotic small subunit ribosomal RNA
Source: RNAcentral
AGCAGCCGCGGUAAUUCCAGCUCCAAUAGCGUAUAUUAAAGUUGUUGCAGUUAAAAAGCUCGUAGUUGAAUUUCGGGAUUCUACCGUUGGUCGGGCUAUUGUCUGUACUGGCGUGUAGAAUUUCUACCUCCUGGGGAACUAUCAUGUUAUUAAUUUAGCGUGGUAGGAAACCAGGACCUUUACCUUGAAAAAAUUAGAGUGUUCAAAGCAGGCUUAUGUCUGAAUACAUUAGCAUGGAAUAAUAAAAUAGGACGGUGGUCCUGUUUUGUUGGUUUCUGAAUCACCGUAAUGAUUAAUAGGGAUAGUUGGGGGCAUUAGUAUUCAAUUGUCAGAGGUGAAAUUCUUGGAUUUAUUGAAGACUAACUACUGCGAAAGCAUUUGCCAAGGAUGUUUUCAUUAAUCAAGAACGAAAGUUAGGGGAUCGAAGACGAUCAGAUACCGUCGUAGUCUUAACCAUAAACUAUGCCGACUAGGGAUCGGAUGAUGUUAAUUUUUUAAUGUACUCAUUCGGCGCCUUACG